This 449-nucleotide ribosomal RNA is filed under the name uncultured bacterium. RNAcentral's name for it is "partial 16S ribosomal RNA". It matches the Rfam family "Bacterial small subunit ribosomal RNA", at positions 29 to 523 of the family's 1533-position model. The record is from RNAcentral.
AAUGAACGCUGGCGGCAUGCCUAACACAUGCAAGUCGAACGAAGGCUUCGGCCUUAGUGGCGCACGGGUGCGUAACGCGUGGGAAUCUGCCCUUGGGUUCGGAAUAACAGUUAGAAAUGACUGCUAAUACCGGAUGAUGUCGUAAGACCAAAGAUUUAUCGCCCAAGGAUGAGCCCGCGUAGGAUUAGCUAGUUGGCGGGGUAAAGGCCCACCAAGGCGACGAUCCUUAGCUGGUCUGAGAGGAUGAUCAGCCACACUGGGACUGAGACACGGCCCAGACUCCUACGGGAGGCAGCAGUGGGGAAUAUUGGACAAUGGGCGAAAGCCUGAUCCAGCAAUGCCGCGUGAGUGAUGAAGGCCUUAGGGUUGUAAAGCUCUUUUACCCGGGAUGAUAAUGACGGUACCGGGAGAAUAAGCUCCGGCUAACUUCGUGCCAGCAGCCGCCGCCG